CCCUAGCCCUGAUUGGAGCAUUUGUUUGAGCUCAUUUUUUAAUGUUUCGGCUGCGGCGGCUUCGCCGCCGCAGCCGAAACAUUAAAAAUAGCGAGUGCGGAAAGCAGGAAAAAGC
RNAcentral lists this unclassified non-coding RNA (115 nucleotides) under Chryseobacterium limigenitum. RNAcentral's name for it is "Flavo-1 RNA". The record is from RNAcentral. Lineage: Bacteria; Pseudomonadati; Bacteroidota; Flavobacteriia; Flavobacteriales; Weeksellaceae.